UACUCGAGUGGCGAACGGGUGAGUAACGCGUGGGUGAUCUGCCCUGCACUUCGGGAUAAGCCUGGGAAACUGGGUCUAAUACCGGAUAGGAGCCAUUUUUAGUGUGAUGGUUGGAAAGUUUUUUCGGUGUAGGAUGAGCUCGCGGCCUAUCAGCUUGUUGGUGGGGUAAUGGCCUACCAAGGCGGCGACGGGUAGCUGGCCUGAGAGGGUGGACGGCCACAUUGGGACUGAGAUACGGCCCAG
This 243-nucleotide ribosomal RNA is filed under the name uncultured Actinomycetales bacterium. RNAcentral's name for it is "partial 16S ribosomal RNA". It matches the Rfam family "Bacterial small subunit ribosomal RNA", at positions 88 to 334 of the family's 1533-position model. The record is from RNAcentral. Lineage: Bacteria; Bacillati; Actinomycetota; Actinomycetes; Actinomycetales.